UUAUUUAAAAAUUAUUUUUUCUUUUAUUUUUAAUUUGUUCCAAUUAGUUAUACAUGACAGUAGAAUGCAUUUUGACACAUCGUACACAAAUGAAGCACAAGAUUUCCUUCCUCUGGUUGUACAUGGUACAGACUCACACCAGUAAAAUUCUUAAGCCUCAAAACAAAAAGACAAAUGCUUCAGGUAAUUGUGGGCAAAAGAUAUGGAUAGACAUUCUUUAAAAUAAUGAAUCUGAAUUAUCUUUCCUAUGUACAUAGAUGAACACCUCAUAGUGAAUCUCCACAUCAUGUACAUACAAAAGCCUGCCAUCCUAAUUAGAAUAAGGUAUACUUUAUGUUUUUAUAAAUAUGUCAUGGAUAUCUAAAAAGAACAAAUAAAAAAGUGAUUAACAUUGCUUGUUAUCAGUAAACAACAGGAAACUGCAAAUCAAAACCACAUAAGAUGCCAUUUCACAUCCACUACAAUGUCUAAAAUAAGAAAUGGAAACAGGAAGUGUUAGGAAAUAAGUGAAGUAAUUGGAACCUUCAUACAUUUUUGGUAAGAUUAUUAAAUGGUACAGCUAUUAUGGAAAACACUGACAGAAGUACUUUGUAAAGCAGCAAUUUCACUCCUGAGUAUACACUCAGAUGAAAUUGAAAAUUAGAGUUCACAAACAAGUUUCACACUAAUGUUCAUAACAGCAUCAUUCACAAUAGCCCAAAGGUAUAAAUAAUACAAAUGUCUAUCAACUGAUGAAAGGAUAACUAAAUUGUGGUAUGUCUAUACAAUGGAAUAUCAUUUGGCCAUAAACAUGAAGUACUGAUAUAUAUUUCACUUGAAAACAAAAUGCUAAAUGAUACAUUUUGCAUCACAAAAGACCACAUAUUACAUGUCUCCAUUUUUUAUAAUGUAUACAUUAUAUGCAAAGCUACAGAGACAGAAAAUGAAUUUUCUGAGUUUUGACAAUGGAGAUGGCUGCAUGUAUCAUUUAACAUGCUAAAAAUAUGAAAUUUUAAAUUUUAAGGAAUCAUAUAGUAUGUAAAAAUAUCUUAAUGAGGUUUUUAUUUUAAAAGAAAAAAGAAAUGGUAGUCCACAUAUUAAUUAUAAGAAAAAACCGAUGGAGGACAUCUGAACCAAGGAUGCUCUUGGCUUUUUUCACAAAUGGAUUUUUGAGGGAAUUGACAUUAACUCCAAAUGAUGUGCUAAUGAUCACAUCCAUGCUGUAGCUCCCCAAAAUUCUGAGUAGAGAAAAAAUGUAAAAUUUUAAUCUGUACUGCUUUACUCUCCUACUACACAUGCUGGAAUAAGUGGAACAGGAGGUCCUCACACUGUCAGAAAUAUCUGUUGAUCAAAUGACUAGUCCAUGCUCCUAUCAUAUGCCAUGAGGCAGCUGCCCCUGUGCCAGGGGAGUUAGGGACACUAGGGUAGUGAGCUCAAGGAUUUCAGUCACAGAGAGACAGAAACCCAUAAUCAGACAAAUUACAUCAGUGAGUGGAGUGUAGAUGAUAAAAGAUGAUUUAAGUAUAGAGCUUCAGCAGGACCAGGGUGUUAUAAUUGACUCCUGCUAGGGGAUCCAAGAUAGGUGACAUUGACCUAGGUCCUGCCUAAGCACAGUCUGUGCCCAGAGCUGAUUCCUCUCUACCACAUCACAUAAAAGCAACACCCUAUUCUGAGAGGCAGAAACAUUGUACCCCCUUCUCUGCACCCACUGCUACUGCUCCCGAGAGGUCUUGCACUCCAGGAUCUAAAUUGGCCCCAAAGACAAAAUCUUGCGAAAGGGAAUGAGUAAGAAUAUCCUCAGUUAAAAUAUUGAAAAUCUCCUCAAAAUGUACUUGGAUGAUCUCACAACUUGGUGAAAAUAUUCUCUUCAGAUUUUCCAUUACAGUAUCAGAGGUUGUACAUGGGUCAAAAUAACCCAUUUUACACAACAAAUGAUGUGGUAAUUGUAAUCCGUAUCCUUUCAGGACCCUAUCUCUGUGGAGAUUGGAGGAAGAAGGAAUAUUUUAUAUUUUUCAUUUUGCUGACAUUCUUAGUGCGACCAUGAAGAGAUUUUUUUGUUCCAUAGUCUGCAUUGUAUCUUUCUAUCCCUGAUUAAUAGGUACCAGAAACUUCCCCCCAACCAACAUUCCCUAUUCUCUACCCCCAACUUCUGAGUGAUCACAUUCUUCAUUGUAAAACAUGUGUUUUGACUUACAUAAUAUUCACAUUGAUGAUCAAGCAGAUAAACUAAUUCUGUUUUCUGUACACAGAUGUCCCAGCACCCUGCCUCAUCCUAGGAGCCUCUCCUCCUUGGGUGGCCCAUUGUGGUUGUGACUCCACACACUUGCUUUUGUCUGUUCAGGGGAGUAGCUCAACAGUGGUAAUUUCAGUUCCAUGGCAGGCUGCUGGAAGGUCUUAAAACAGCUCAGAACCCCAGAGCUGCCUGCUACUUACUCCUUCACAGUGACAGGCUUGCCUUUCUUCACUUCCUGGCUCAGGUACUUCACCAAUGCGUCUCCAUAUUGGUUAAUGAUGGGGAACAUCUAAGCACAAACACAACUCCACCCACAGUUAGAGGAGAACCGAGUCCUUGAGGCAGUGGUUUUCCCGGGAUUAUAAAGUAUGAGAUGUUUAUAAUGAAUCAAAUAAUAUCUCUUCUAGAUAUAAAGACAAAAGGUCAUUUGAAACUUUUCAUUAGUUCUUUUUAUUUAUCCAUAACAAUAAGUUUCAUUUUGACAUAAUUAUAAAAUCAUGGAAAAUAAUUUUGCACUUCUCUAAUUGCUUGACCUGUUGAACAUUUUUUCAUAUACUCAGUGAUCAUUUGUAUUUCUUCUUUUGAGAAGGGUCUGAUCAGUUCUUUUGCCCACUUAUUGAUUGGGUUAUUUGAUUUUUGGUAUUAAGCUUAUUGAGUUCUCUGUAUAUUGUGAAUAUUAACACCAUAAAUGAAGUGCAGGGGGAAAAGAUUUCAUCCACUUCUGAAGGUUCUCUCUUUAUGCUCUCAAUUGUUUCUUCUGAUGUGAAAGGAUAUUAGAUUAGAGAAAAUAGACAACAAUUAAAUUAUUGUUGUCUAUUAAAUUAAAUUAUUAAGUUCUUUCAAGUGCUUAAGAUGCAAGAGACAGUAUCAGUGGAGACUCAGCCCCGUGUGCUUUUUCCACUCAACAACAUGCCCUUUAUGGGCCAUGCUAGUUAGGCAGGAUAAUGUGGCCAGCUCUGCAGUUUUGAGGACUUGAUGAGAGAAGAUGAAGAAGGAGGAAGAGGCAAAGCCUCCUCCCAUUUGCUUGUGGCACACAAGAACUACAAUAAUACCUCUGGAACUGCUUUCAUCAAGCACUAUUAAGAAAAUGGCUACUGAAAUUAGCUGAUUUCAACCUAACAUAUUAUGAAGUACUAAAGGUCAUGGGAACACAGUGGUUUAAAAUGUACUGGAAGUCCAUUCUUCAAAGUCAAUUGAAUGAGGUAGGCAGAGAAAUCCCUGUGUACACUUCUAUUGAAAACUCCUAAUUGACAGGGUAAAAUAAAUGAAAUCCCCAAGACUUUACACUUGCAGACAGAGUUAAAAUAAAAGAAAGCAGAGGUCAAAUCAUUUCCCAAUCUGUUCAUCUCUGUCUCCACUUUUCAUUCAAAUGUACAUAAUAACCCCCAGAUUUAUAUAAAGGUUGCUUUUACUAAAGUGACAAUCUUGAAAGGAGAUUAAGCCAUGCAUGGUGCACAUUUUAGAAAGGUCUGACUUAAUGCCUCCCAUGCAGUAUUAAAGGCUCCUAAUAAAGAAAAAAAAUGGAAAAGGGGGUAGAGUCUGAGCACUUGAGAGAAGGUGAGGCCAAGAGUGUUUGGGUCAUCAGAGACUGAGAAAAGUCUGAAGUGUGACAUUCUUGGACAUAAACCUUGACACCUGGUGAAAUAUGGGACCCUUGGCAGGAGGAGGAGCCCCUAAAAGCUUUAUGAUAAUUAAUUAUCAGUAAUAGCUCUGGGCUGCAUUGUCCUCUUGCCUUGGAGUGCCCCAUCCAAGAAAUCGACCCAAGGGAAGUUUCCAAAACACUCACCCCCACAUUUUCCCAUACUUUUCAUGACAUUGGGGGUCAUAUUGCCAAAGACCAUGAGAGGAGAAACAAGAGAAUUUAUAUUGUUAUUUUGAAAAUAUUGAACCCUGCUUCUAAUUGAGGAACCAAUUAUUCCAAUCUCUUGAAAUCAGACUGGAAUAUGGUCCAUCACUGGCAUUUAGAGGGCAGCUCUUAUUCUAAGACAUCCAAAUGCAAAGAAGAGGAAAUAAAUGAGAUAUUUGAAAAGGGAAUUUAGAGUCCAUCUUGAAUUUUCUUUAAGUAUUGUACAUAUUGAAGAAAUUAUCCAUCUUUUUUUUGAGACAAGGUAUUGCCAUGUUUCCUAUAUUGCUCAAGCUGACCUUGAAUUUAUGAUUCUCCUGCCUCAGCCUCCAGAGUGGUUGGGACUACAGGUGUGUGGCACUGUUUGGCCAGUUGUCCUUGAGUAUGAAUAUGAAGCAAGCCUGGCUUUCUGUAUCAUUUUCUCAUGUGCAUGGACUGUUUCUGAAAUCCUGCCAACUUUGAAUCAUUCCCUCCACAUGGAUGUGAAAAAAGCCAAAGCUGAGAGAAAGUGAGUGAGUUUCCCAGGGACAUUCACAAGGAUACUUCACUCAUUUUUCCCCAGAUCUUUUUCAUUUCUCUCAUGAAUCUCCCUAGAAUACUUGGGAAAUUAGGAAGUUCAAGGCACCAGUCGCCUCUAACUUGACCAUGUUGAUAUGAUUAUUUUAGUUGGUUUUUUCACUACUGUGACACUGAUAAGAACCAUGUAGAAAAUUAAGAUUUACUGGGCCCACACGUGAGCUUCUGUGGGACAUUACAACCAUAACAGUGAUUCUCGUGCAUGUUGUGGAGUGAGAAAGAAUAAGUGAGGAUUGACAAAAUGGAGUCACCUUCCAGUUUUCCAGAUCAACGUGGAAAAGAUGGGGAGAUGCCACCCCUACCCAUGGGAGUCAAUAAAUUAAGUCCUUGCUCUAAGUUUUUGCUUCUAACACUUAAAAAGAUUUUUUUCUGUUGCUGUGUUUCAGGGAUGAUGUUUUCAUGAUGCACAGGGAGACCCCAAUUAUGGACCUUACAGGCUGUUUAGUAAACAGUUUAUCUGGGAAGUGUGAAGAUUAAAUGAUUGUUUUUCCAAAGAGAACAUAAUUAUGGAAUUCUCAAGUGGUCAUUAGGUCUCCAAAUUGUAGAAAUUGAAUCUAGUUAAGAAGCCUCUGUCUUUGGGAAAGAUAAUCUAAGCAGAGAGCAGCAUAUCCUCUGACCAUCUGGAUUAGAGUUCAUGAAUUUCUAUCCAGUAUUCAGGUCCUGAGUCAAAUACCUAACCAGGUUAAUCACCAAUGCAGCUACAAAUUCACAUUUCUUUUGGAACACUCCAUUCAAUUGACUUACAUUUUAAUAAUUUUUUUAAAUCAUCCAAUUUCUGUUCAUUUUAUAUCACUAAAUCUGACCUUGCUGAAAAACAAUACUUAUCUUGUGAUUAAUUAUGUGAAGUCCAUAGAUAAGAGCUGUCUUAUCUCUUUCAUAUUUUUUUCCCUUCUAAGACUCACAGAUAGGGUGUUAUCUUUGAAGGAUAAUAAAAAAUGCAGAUUGAUUUUGUUUCAUCUCUCCAAUCCUCUACAUGUACCUUUAGUAGUAAAACUUGGGUACUGACAUGGAAAUAAUCAUAGAUUUAGACAUUAAGAAAUUAUGUAUGUGCAAACAUGAAUAUGAAUACUUGCAUUGUUCAAGAAAUUGUAGUUUCAAAUAUAUCCAUGAACACUUUUUAAAAUAAAGCUACUCAUGAGAUCUAGUUAUGAAUAGAAAUGUUUGAAUGUGCUUGACAGCUUCUCUUUCACAGAUUUUUGCUCAAAUGUGCAAAGGCAAAUUAAACAUCCUCUUUAUGAUAUGUACAAGUCUGGAAAACAUCGUGAGCAUCAAACGCAGGUGAAUUAGGGAUCUGAGUAUUUCCACUGAGGCUCUUGAAGAGUUUACAACAGAUCCCCAAGGAAAAACUGGCCAUGCUCAGGGUGGAGCUUGCACACUGUUUCAAAAAUGAUGAGAGUUGGGAACUUUCUCCCAAAGAAGUGCAUUUUUACCAAUGACAUUAAUGUGGCAUUUUCUUUGCCAAAGAAAAAGAAGAAACACAACCAUACUCACCUUACAGAAGCAUUCCAAAGAAAUGCAGAGGUGUUGGCCCAGGAAUUCCCAGCUUCUCACAAAGCACAUGUGAAUAGGUUCCAUAUCUAUAAAGUGAGAGAGAAAGCCAGGUCACCAUGAUUGUCAUUCUAUAAAUAAGGGCCUGACAAGUCUCUGACUCAGAAACUGGACCAGACAAUGAGGGAGGUAACAUGUAGGUGAUAUAUAACAACAAAAACUCCAACAACGCAUUAACUCCUUCCCGACUCCAUUUAGAGAGCCCCCCCCUCACCCCAAAGGCACAAUGAUGAGCUAAGAUAAGUUGAGACUUCAUGCCCCAAUUCUUGGGUUCAUACUUGAACAUUCCCAGACUUGAGUGCUCCUGCAAGGUCCAGCCUGGCUUUCUGCCAGGCAUUUCAUUUGCAUGUCUCUUUGGUAUGUUGAC
Molecule: long non-coding RNA, 6546 nt
Filed under: Marmota monax (woodchuck)
Lineage: Eukaryota; Metazoa; Chordata; Mammalia; Rodentia; Sciuridae
Source: RNAcentral